This is a long non-coding RNA of Anguilla rostrata (American eel), 2656 nucleotides long. RefSeq lists it as uncharacterized. The record is from RefSeq and is a predicted model, not a curated record. NCBI's taxonomy places the organism in Eukaryota, Metazoa, Chordata, Actinopteri, Anguilliformes, Anguillidae. The transcript has 3 exons.
UCGAGAAGAAGCGAAGAAAAACAUCCCAUUAAUUUAGCGAAUCGAACAAACUAACAUCUGCUAGCUUUUGUUUGAUGCGAUAUCUGUGUAAUAAUGAGGUGCAUUGUACCCGGUUGUUAUAAUGCCCCCGUUAAACUUGACUUGAAAGCACAUUUUCAUAGUUUUCCACGGGAUGCAACUUUGUGCCAGACAUGGCUGGAUGUAAUCAGACACCGCAACAUAACUCCCGCAAACGAGGACUAAGGGCAUGCAGCGACCACUUUGAAGGCACUGACUACCAAGGCGACCGUCUGAAGCCUGGACCGUUUUCCCAUCGUUGGUCGAACCACUAGAGGUCCUUAGAAGGUGCCAGAGUUCCAAUCAUGGAUGUGCCAGAGAAUUUGCAGGUGGACCAGGGGGAGAUUGCAAUCACAAACCAAAUGAAUAUUUCAGCUGAGGCAGAUAGAAGUUCAAGGACAAAGACAUUAUACAGAGAAAAAUGAAGCCCCUCACCAGAUGAUGUUUUAACAUUUACCUGCAUCUGUUAGUGUUCUACAGUGCUGUGGGAGUUUGAUUCCAUUACGCUUUCAUUACAGUCAUACUUAAUGGUUGUGUCACAGUCUAUUAACUGCAUUCAUCUUCACUGUGAUAUAUAACAAGAGAUUGCCAUACAGAACAAAGAAAAAUUAGCCUGACUCACUGCAGUGGCACUACAAUUUAUAUAUUAUUUUCAACACUUAAGCAUGCAGCCAUUUUCAGAUUGUGGUUUUAUAUGAACAGCAGUUGCUGUUGUGUUGAUAAUGGCAUCCUGUAAUGCUUUUUGUAAUCUAAACAACUCAAUUAUCUGUUGGGCUACCAACCAUGAUCAGCAAAAUUACCAUAAGCACAUACAAUUUAAAACCAAGAAAUGGCAUGUGCAGCCCAUGGAAUAAAUCCUGACAGCUGUCAUAGGUUUGCAAUUUGGAGUUACAUUUUUAGAGAAUGGUUUGUGCUGUGCAUAUAAAUAUAAAAUUCAGAGGAGCUGACAUAGCAGUGUGGUUCUCAGCUUGCCAUGGUUAAUAUAUUAAAAAUAUAUUUUAAAAUGUUUUUACUCCUACCACCAUUGCCAUUUACUUUCACAAUUUAUGAGGAUCUAAUCAAUAAACAGCUGAGCAUUUACAUAAAAUGGGAAAUAGGAAAGCCACAGGAAACUCAUUCACAGAUGCAGACAUUCAUUUUUUCUGAAAUUUGCCACAUACUGUAGCAUUUCUCAGCUGACUAAUAGGAACAAUUCACCACAAAGUAUCAUAUUAAUAAAAUACACAGUAGGCAGCCAGGUGGAAUUGGGAGAAAAUGCAUCCCUGUGCCAACAGGACAUAUGUAAAGAGCUAGCAUUUACUUAUGUUAGCACCUAGCUGUUCACUCUGUUAAUAGGGUUGUUCAACCACUCUCCUCCCACUUACUACUAAUAUCACACUGAAAAGUACAAACUAGAACUAUAAAAAUGUUUUAAAUGUAAAUACACAUAUUUGGAAGAACAGUAAUUACAUGAUGCAUUUUAUUGCAAGGUUUCCACCAUGUCCCUUAAAAUACACAAUCCUGGAUAGGUGUUUCAUGCAUUUUUAACGAAUAUUAAAUUGUUUAAUUUACUACCACCCUCAUUUUUCUCUGUUCACAAGGCCCCAUACAGUUUCAACACUGAACAAAGCUUACUUUUCUUUAUACAUAAAAGUAGAAAGAUUCAAAGUGUCUCAGACUUUCAAAUUUAAAUGAUAGAAUUAUGUAUGAUAUGCGUGUGACAGUAAGACUAAAUAUUCAAUUCUGGAAUCUAUUCAGCUGGCUUAUUUGUAGUUUGUUAUUUGGCUGUUUUAGCUUAAGUUGCAAUCAGUUUUUUUUUUUUUUUCCCCAACAACACAAUUUGUUGUUAUUUGAUAUACAAACCAAAAAUAUGUAGAAUAUAUUUAGGAAUUUUUGACCCCAAGUUUGGUAAGGUGAUUCCUUACACUCAUGUCCCAUUGGAUUUCCAUCAAUAUAUUUGAGCAGUGUACUACGGCUCUUCUCUGAAAUGACCAGUAGUUUCUACUCAGCUGAAACCAAGCUUAUCUUACCUUUCAAGAUAACCUAUCGAAAAGAGAUGCCAACUGCUCAUUUGCCCACAGUAAUUUGCAGUUUUUCACCCUAAUUUAUCCCCACUGUGAUUCUUUUUUUUUUUUUAACCUUAUGUUCUUUGUGUGUGCUAUUUAGGGGUUCAGGCCUGUUGCUCUGUUUGCUCUUUUUCUCUGUUUCUUGCUACUCUGUAAAGUGUCUUUGUGACAGUUCACUGUAGAAAGCGCUAUACAAAAAAAUUGAAUUGAAUUGAAUAUUAAUACUUUUUACCCUAUUUAGUGUUAAUGCGUGUGUGGCUAAACAUCUCUUAUUUUUUAAGUUUAUGUUUCAUAUUGUGAAUUAAAUUUAUUUGAGGAAGGUAUUGCGUCUUGUGAAAGGCAGAUUAUAAUGCGUAAACUUUCUUAACCUAUGUUUGAACAUAAAAUUGCAUUGUUAUAAUUAUUUGCCACUUAUGUGACCACACAUUCAAGCAGCUUCAAUGCCUUAUAUAUUUUUUUCUUUGAAGCCUCUCGUAAGUAUUCAUGCAUGCAUGCUUCCUGAAGCCUUUAUUUAAAAAAAGUUUUUUUUUUGAGUAUCUUACAAUUAAGUUAGA